Molecule: transfer RNA, 91 nt
Filed under: Deltaproteobacteria bacterium
Lineage: Bacteria; Pseudomonadati; Myxococcota; Myxococcia
Description: tRNA-Ser
Source: RNAcentral
GGGAAAUGAUAAGGCGGGAAAAAUGAGGAAAAGAUACUUAAACUGACUCUUAAUCAGUAGGUUUGGAGUUCGAGCCUCCGACGGCCCACCA